This 498-nucleotide ribosomal RNA is filed under the name uncultured bacterium. Its description in RNAcentral is "partial 16S ribosomal RNA". It matches the Rfam family "Bacterial small subunit ribosomal RNA", at positions 27 to 507 of the family's 1533-position model. The record is from RNAcentral.
GGAUGAACGCUGGCGGCGUGCCUAAUACAUGCAAGUCGAGCGAACAGACGAGGAGCUUGCUCCUCUGACGUUAGCGGCGGACGGGUGAGUAACACGUGGAUAACCUACCUAUAAGACUGGGAUAACUUCGGGAAACCGGAGCUAAUACCGGAUAAUAUAUUGAACCGCAUGGUUCAAUAGUGAAAGACGGUUUUGCUGUCACUUAUAGAUGGAUCCGCGCCGCAUUAGCUAGUUGGUAAGGUAACGGCUUACCAAGGCAACGAUGCGUAGCCGACCUGAGAGGGUGAUCGGCCACACUGGAACUGAGACACGGUCCAGACUCCUACGGGAGGCAGCAGUAGGGAAUCUUCCGCAAUGGGCGAAAGCCUGACGGAGCAACGCCGCGUGAGUGAUGAAGGUCUUCGGAUCGUGAAACUCUGUUAUUAGGGAAGAACAAAUGUGUAAGUAACUAUGCACGUCUUGACGGUACCUAAUCAGAAAGCCACGGCUAACUACGUG